AAAUAUAUUAGUGGAACUAAGUAAAUUAUUAUUUUGAUUUAAUUUUUUAAAUAGAGAGUUAAGAGUAAAAUCUUUAAAUUUUUAAAUGAAAAAUUAUAAGGAAAUAUGAUAAUCUUUAAAAAUAAGGUUUUAGACUAGGAUUAGAUACCCUAUUAUUCUUUAUUAAAUUAGUUGCUUGGGUAGUAAAGAUUUUUAAACCUAAAGAAUUUGGCGGUACUUCAUUCUUACUAGAGGAACCUGCUCCUGGAUCGAUAAUCCACGUUUUAAUGUACAUGAAUUUGUUUUCAGUUUGUAUACCGCCGUUGUCUGAUUAUUUUUAAAGAAUAUAAUCUAACUAGUUGUUAUACUAGGACUUCAGGUCAAGGUGCAGCUUAUGUUUAUGGGGGUAGUGGGUUACAAUAAAUUAAAUUUACACGGAUCAAAGCGGGUAAGCAUUUUAUGAAGGUGGAUUUAGUAGUAAAUUAAUAAUAGGAUUUUUAAUUGAAGUGGGCUCUGAAGUGUGUACACAUCGCCCGUCGCUCUCUCCUUAAGGAGAGAUA
This 539-nucleotide ribosomal RNA is filed under the name Triops granarius. RNAcentral's name for it is "partial 12S ribosomal RNA". The stretch from base 178 to 539 matches the Rfam family "Microsporidia small subunit ribosomal RNA", at positions 752 to 1266 of the family's 1311-position model. Lineage: Eukaryota; Metazoa; Arthropoda; Branchiopoda; Notostraca; Triopsidae. The record is from RNAcentral.